Molecule: ribosomal RNA, 261 nt
Filed under: uncultured bacterium
Lineage: Bacteria
Description: partial 16S ribosomal RNA
Rfam family: Bacterial small subunit ribosomal RNA
Source: RNAcentral
GUCCACGCUGUAAACGAUGGGUACUAGACGUUGGGAAGCUUGUCUUCUUAGUGUCGCAGCUAACGCGAUAAGUACCCCGCCUGGGGAGUACGGCCGCAAGGUUAAACUCAAAGGAAUUGACGGGGGCCCGCACAAGCGGUGGAGCAUGUGGUUUAAUUCGAUGCAACGCGAAAACCUUACCUGCCCUUGACAUCUGGAGAAUCCUGCAGAGAUGCGGGAGUGCCUUCGGGAACUCCAAUACAGGUGCUGCAUGGCUGUCGU